RNAcentral lists this long non-coding RNA (6802 nucleotides) under Triticum aestivum (bread wheat). Its description in RNAcentral is "long non-coding RNA (TAES_LNC007181)". Lineage: Eukaryota; Viridiplantae; Streptophyta; Magnoliopsida; Poales; Poaceae. The record is from RNAcentral.
UCCCCGGUGCCUUCUUCAUCCCCAUGCAAGCCACAAUACCCACUUGCAUGAUAGUCAUGCAGUAGCCAUGGUUUUUAACUUGAAUAUUUAAUAAAUGUUUGCUUGUUGAAAAGAUUGUUAUCGUUGUUCUGGUAAUGUUCAGAUUUGCAUGUUCACUUUUGUGCUAUGUUGUUUUGUACUCUGUGAUCAUGUUAUACCUGCUAGUAUUACCUUUCAAAUGUUUAUGCUUGUUAGUAGUACAUGCUGAUGUUGGAGAUGGUCAUGCUAGUCAGUGUGCCUUGCUCGGUGAAUAUGAGUUAUUGUUGAUAUGGUGGAAAGUUACGUGAUACUCUCAUGGCGAUGUUGAUAUCAUGUUCAUGUAUUGUUGUUGGCAUCAUGUUAUGUUAUCAUGGCUCAACAUAUUUGCAUUCAAGUUAACCAGAUUAAAUUGAACUUGAACACCUAUUGGUUGAGUCAUGGUGCCGCUGAAUCGACGCUGACCAGUGUAACCACGCUUACCGGUAUGGGACGGUCCUAACUGGGUCUAUUGUUGUGCCUCUCGCCGGUGCCUCCAACGAGGGAAGGUUAUGGGCGCGUGCUACCCUGAUCAGGUAUGCGGAGCAUAACCUUGUGUGCCCAUUGAUGAGUUAGUUUUUGGAUCCGUGUACCAGUGUGGGAUGGGCCACGAUGGUGGUCGUUGUGUCUGGAGGUAGGCACGGGGCCACCCAUGACUUAGCUCAGUGAGGAGUGAGUCGGAGUGGCCGGGAGAGUGUCAUGGCAGUAGGACGGUUUUGUCAGAACGCUGUUGGUCCACCCAAAUGGGAGUGCGAGGCCAUGGGUUCCGUAGUGUGGGCACAGUGUACUAACCUAUGCAGAGUGUGUAUUAAAUCUAUCGAUAGCCGCGCCCGCGGAUGAGGGCCCAGGUCAAAAGUAGGUCACACCAUGAGUCAACAGUAAUAAGAAUAAUGUGCUUAAUAACAGUGAGAAAAGUGGGUUGUGAUCGCCGUAAGGAUCACGGGCCAUGUAGUGGUUUGGUUGUGAUCACCGUAAGGAUCACGGGCCAUUUAGUGGUCGGGUUGUGAUCGCCGUAAGGAUCACGGGCCAUGUAUUGGUCGGGUUGUGAUCGCCAUAAGGAUCACUAUGGUAUCGAGGAUACUGAGUUGUUGGAUAUUCGUGAUGUUGUACAAGAAUCGUGGGUAAAGGUCAAGCUCCUUGUGGUCAUUUACUGAUUAGUGCGGUAUUUUUUAUACCAAGCUUGAUUUGAUCCUGAGAUGAUCGUGUGAUGUCCGAGGUUGGUAAGUGAUGCAUGUGUGGGUUACGAGGUAGCCCGAGCAGGAUAAGUGGUGCAUAUAGUGGUUUCAUGUUGCAUGGUAGUAUUGUCAGAUUAAUAUGUUCAUGUUGUGAUAGCUGUAUCAUGUUUAUGUUGGUCAUGCCAUGUUGUUCUGAUGAUAUCAUGAUAAUUCCUGUUUAACCUGUAAUUGCCAUGCUAUUGUUUGUCUUGAAUGCUUCUGGUUAUUGUGAGCUUGCAAGUACAUUCAAUGUACUAACCUGGCGUGUCAUGCCAGUUUGCAGGUCAUGCCGGAUUUAAUUGCUUGCUUGUCGUGGUUUCCGUUCGUGCGAGCUAGGAUAAGCAUUCCAGCCAGAGUCCCUAUGGAGUGGAGUUCACCACCGUCUUUGUUGUUCCGCUGCUAGAGUUCUUCCGCUGCUUCAUUUUGUUCUGCUGCUUGCGUAGAGCAACUGAGGAUGGCGUAGUGUCGCCGUGCCGAUGUUAUUCAUUGUAAUACCGGAGACCUUGUAUUCAUAUUUGUGUAAUAAUAGAAGGCUAGUUUGUUCUAUGCUAAGCAGUGUCGUAUUCCAGAAGACUUCUCCUCAAUCUCUGGGCUGGAAUACGAGGCGUUCCGAUUUUCUCUGAGCCGGGGUGCCAUAGGCUUGGUAUCAGAGCCGGUCUGGCUGUAGGACGCCCUAGACCGUGCGAACGUUAGAAAGCGGUAGUAUAGACCCCAGUUGGUUUGUUGCAAUUGAUUGCUGCAUUUGUUUGUCGCAUAGCAUGCAUAUAGCCUUAGUAUCUAUGAUAACGGUUUAUCUGGUGAGUGUAGCUAGCAUCGGUUCGGAUCCACUACAGCUCAACCUCUGCAUUUCCCCAGUCCCUUUUUAUUUCGGUGUUUGGUGUCAUUUCUGUCCCAGUAGAGUCAUGCCAAGUGAUCCCAACACUGUUUGCAAAAAUAGUGCUCAGGUAUCGCACUGAUGUCUUUCUUUCAGUCCCGUCUAUCGUUUUGGUGAUGGACAUGUUUCUAUCCCGGAUGGUUCUUUUAUUUUGUCAUGUUGGCAACCCUUAAUGAUCUCAGUUAUCAAGAAAGGGCAAUGUCAGCAGCCUCAGUUUUUUUCCCUGCAAUCCUACUUCUUGGACGAAUACGGAUCUUUUUCCGUCCGCUUGAUAAUAAUGUGGUUGCGACCUUCGUGUCCCACUGCAUGAUUACCAAGUACGUCCUCGUCUCCGAGCUAGUUCAGGUUGCUAUCUGGCUAAGCUAGAACUUGGUGUAGCGCUGUUUACAUCAAUUCUUCCACACAUUUAUUCGUCCUUGUGCACAUCGUCACAACAUGUUAGAUCGUAGUACCGGAGAUUCCGUGAAAUUUGUGUGCUUAGGUGUGCAUGCAUAUUAUUGUGUGAGUAGCAGUAAUAUGUGAUGAUUGCUUGAUUCAUUAUAUUAGUAGUAUGCUUGUGUGCUUUUGUUUCAGUCGUUUCUGUUGUUCCUUUCUUUGGGCCUUCAGUGUUACAAAUUUUUCCCCUAUUAAAGUUGCUCGUCAGCCGACACUGGACCGGAAGAGUCAGCAAGAAAUGCUUAUAUUUGGAAACUCAACAAAACAGAAUGGAAUUAUCAGCACACAACAGUAAAUUGGAAUAUCUCGUCUGAAUGCAAAAGAAAUCCUGGAUGGACCGUCAGUAUCAAGUUUGCAUUAGCGUGCACUCAUCACAACUAAAUGAUUAAAUCAGCAAGAAGAUAAAUUGUGUGCAAGGUUGGCAGAAGAUUAUCAAAGAUGGUUGUGUGGAAAUCGGUCCGCAUAUCACAAUAAGAAGCUUCUGGUGUAAGCAACCCAAUCUUCCCUGGCAGAAUACCAGAGAAGUUUCCAAGGCAAGAUUCAUCUAUUUUGUUCAGUAUGAUAUAUGGAUGAUUUCUCGCACAAGGUACUCUGCGUUCUUCAGUAAGCAACCGCAAAAGCUUCCAGCAUAAGGUACUGAGUCUUUCCCCAGCAAAGUCUUUAAGGGGGUAAGCUUCUGAAGCACGGUACCCAGUCUUCUUCAGCAAGCUGUCCGAUGAAAGUUUCGAGCACAAGCCAGCAAAUAUUCCUCAGUAAGACAUUGGUACAAGGUAGUACGCUGUGAAUUGACAGCAUAUGGCAGUGAAUCCCAAGAAUCAGAUCGGCCACAUUUUGGUCAAAAUCGAGAAUCAGUCAGAAUACACGUCUGUCUCGGAAUCAGGUCCUCAUAGAUAUGCAAUGAGCAUACCAUCAAGAUCUUACAAGUCACUCGGAUGAGGAUCUGAUAACCUCGUGAGGAUGAUUAAGAGAAGAAAGCCAGUAUACACCGCAGUGUGACAAAGGAUUAUGAGGACUGACGACAUCAAUGAGCUCAAUAUAAGUACCCGUGAACCUGGAAAAUGAUCCUGAUGAGCCCUUGUCCCUUUUUCUCCAAUGACGGCACCACGCCUGUGAUCUGAGCUGUUUCUAGCUAUCCAGGGUGGAUGCCGAUUUUUGUUUGUCUCUUCAACAACUGUCACGAGUCUGAGCUGCUUUUCGGCCGUCUCGUAUAGUUGCUGAGUUUCUUUUUGUGACAGUAGCCCUAUAGCUGCUUUUUGGCUAUUUUAGGGAGCUGCCACCUUCUUCUUAUCGACCCGGUCUCAUGCUCUGAGCUGCUGUUUUGGCCGUCCUGAGCCGUGGUUGGGUUAUUCCAGUAAUGUCCCAGAUCUGAGUUGUAAAGACCGUUCUGGUGGCUACUGAUUUAUUUGCCGAUUUCUUGCAAGGGUUUCGGAUGAUCAUUUCCCAAGGAUUGGAACUUGAGAGGUCUUGAACCUGCAAUUUAAUAGUCUACCUUAUCAGAAAAAUGAGGAUAAGCUACGAUUGUCGAAAAAUUGCACCGACAGUACCUAUGGUCAUACAAAGAAGCUAUAUGACCCAACUCUUUCAGCCAAAGAUCCAGACCAAGAAAACAAUAAUGAAGGAGCAAGACCAGUGACGCAGGUAUGAAAAUUGUUGCACGACCCACAUGGUGCAGAUCCCCCUGACAGUCUAAAUCAGUAUUAAUCCACAUGGAUAUGUCUAUCACAUGAGUAAUCGGCAUGAGGAAUAACAGUCUGGAAGCAUGAGUCCUCACUUAUAUGAAUCAUCAUGGAUAACCUGUCGUGAACGAAAUUUUUCUGUCAAGUCUGCAGAUAUUGUCAUACAAGCCAAACACUUUAUGUUGGCCGCGACAGGAGACAAUCAAAUAUUUGGUACGGAUCCAAUACUCACAACAGUGGAACCAGUUAAGAUGAUUCAGAAACUUCUGCGAAGAGUCAAAAUCUAUCAGGAAACGGUUAUGUUUUAACUCACUGUUUGGAACCCAAAGGACUUGCAUUUAGUGGAGAAACCCAAUGCAAUGAGUCAGAACUUGAGUUUUCAUCAGAAAAUUCUGAUCAUCAUUACAUGAAAGGUUGUCAGUGCCGGGUGGCACACCCAACGGAAAUGACUUUUGGAUUUGAGAGACGGACAUAUAUUCCGGUCGUGAUAAUCAAAUCACACUCAGCUAGUCAGCAGUUCUAAAAAGAAAUUGGAGCCUAUAUAAGAAUGAGCAAGCUAGGUAAGGUCUGUCAGAAUGUGGAUACAGUAAAUAAAACCACCCCAGGGCCAGUCAGAUAAAAUUUAGUGGGAACAACAAUAAAGGAAAAAGGAUACCCGAGUUGGAAACAGUUUCCUUAAGUCAAAAUAUUCAUACUAGUUCCCUGAGCAACCAAAUCUCGAGGACGAGAUUUCUUUAAGGGGGUAAGGUUUGUGACAACCUGGUUUUUGGCCCUUUCUUUUUCUUUUGUUUUUCCGAGGUUUUUGCGUGAGUUUUUUUUCCGUGGCUUUGUGGUCUGGAAACUAAAGAAGAUGCCCUCUUCUUUGUUUCCAGAGUGGCUUGUCAUUCCCAAAUCUUUCCCUAGACCCUGUGAUUUCCAUCCUAGCACAAAUCCCAAUAUUCUUUUUAUUGGGAAUAUUCCUUUUCUAUCAAAGGAAUAACUCCAAUUGCCCUAGGUUGUGAAGCAAUCUAUAUUUCCAUCACUCCAAAAAUUCCCAAAUAAUUCUCAUAAAUUGUUUGGGUCAUAUCUUGCUCAAAUAUGGCAAAACUUUUCAUUGCCAUGUUCAAAAAUAUCCUCCAAUAAUUCAUUUCCUAUUCUGCCCCAAAUGGCACUUUGUGAAGGAAGUGUCAUUUAUAUUUCUCCUAUUGACUCCCAACCUUUUUGGGCAUGUUUAUAUGUCCAAAUAAUUGCCCCAUGCACAAGUUCAAAAAUAAUCUUCCCGUCGCCGUCGUCUUCCCUCCUGCGCCCCCUUGGCCUCCUAUGCCCCAUGAGCCCCUCCCUGUGCGUCACUGUCGCCUUCCCCCGAGCCCAUGCGUGAGCACACGCGUCCGCGGCGCUGGACACGCGUCGCCGGCGGUGCCAGCCCAGCCUCCCUCUCGCCCGACUAUAUAUAGCCCUCCCCCGAGCCCCUCGAGCUCACCACCAGCCUCACACCACUCCCAGGAACCCGCCUAGUAAUUUGCCUGCGCGGGAGAAGCCCUCUUGCCCCCCCUUUGUCGCCAUGGCCGCCGCGGCCAUCCUCUCGAAUUCGGCCAAGUCAAGCUCCUUCUCCUCCUUCUACCACCACCAGAACUCCACCCAGUCCUCGAAGACCCUCCCUGCCCUCUUAGCCCAUCGCUGGAGCCGUUGUUGCCGUCAUCCCUGUAGAUCGCCGCCGCCCGAGCCGGUUCUGUCCCCUCUUCAUCGUGGCCACCCUGCUCCUCUCCGGCGUUUCCUCUGCGCGGGGAUGGAUGCGGCUGUCCACGCCGAGCCCGCCGGUGGCCUCCGUUUGGCCGGAGGUGGCCGGAGUCGCCGGGGCCAGCGCCGGCAGCGCCCCUGCCUCUACUUCGGUCGGGCCAGGUAGAGGAGGAAGAAGACGAAGGCGUUGACCAGGAGCAUGGGUCCCGCGACCCCACCUGUAAGCCUCUAAGCUGCCGGCCCCGCGUUGACCAGUCCACGCCACGUCAGAUAAGUGAAGGCGCAUUUCCACUUUACGUUUUCACUGAUCGAAAUCGUAUUUCUAACUUUGCGCUUCUGCCUUAUCCACUCAGGGACCCGACUGUGAAUAUAAUUUUUUACAGAAAAGUCACUGAACUUCAACCCCUCAUAUCUCUUUAACCGUAACUCCAAAUGAGGUGAAACCAACGCCCACUUCUUCAUUUCGUCGAGCCCGUUCUGUUGGUCACACUUUCACUAUGGUUUGACACUAUGAAAAUGACCUUUAUGCCCUUGCCCGUAUUCAGCCCCCUCCGAGAGAGAAUGUUUUUCGGUGUUUCGUUCUGCGACUCCAUCGCACUUCUCCCCGGCGCCUUCUUCAUCCCCAGGCAAGCCACAAUACCCACUUGCAUGAUAGUCAUGCAGUAGCCAUGGUUUUCAACUUGAAUAUUUAAUAAAUAUUUUCUUGUUGAAAAGAUGGUUAUCGUUGUUCCGGUAAUGUUCAGAUUUGCAUAUUCACUUUUGUGUUAUGUUGUUUUGUACUCUGUGAUCAUGUUAUACCUGCUAGUAUUACCUUUCAUAUGUUUAUGCUUGUU